AUUGAACGCUGGCGGCAGGCCUAACACAUGCAAGUCGAGCGGUAGCACAGAGAGCUUGCUCUCGGGUGACGAGCGGCGGACGGGUGAGUAAUGUCUGGGAAACUGCCUGAUGGAGGGGGAUAACUACUGGAAACGGUAGCUAAUACCGCAUAACGUCGCAAGACCAAAGUGGGGGACCUUCGGGCCUCAUGCCAUCAGAUGUGCCCAGAUGGGAUUAGCUAGUAGGUGGGGUAAUGGCUCACCUAGGCGACGAUCCCUAGCUGGUCUGAGAGGAUGACCAGCCACACUGGAACUGAGACACGGUCCAGACUCCUACGGGAGGCAGCAGUGGGGAAUAUUGCACAAUGGGCGCAAGCCUGAUGCAGCCAUGCCGCGUGUGUGAAGAAGGCCUUCGGGUUGUAAAGCACUUUCAGCGGGGAGGAAGGCGAUAAGGUUAAUAACCUCAUCGAUUGACGUUACCCGCAGAAGAAGCACCGGCUAACUCCGUGCCAGCAGCCGCGGUAAUACGGAGGGUGCAAGCGUUAAUCGGAAUUACCGGGCGUAAAGCGCACGCAGGCGGUCUGUCAAGUCGGAUGUGAAAUCCCCGGGCUCAACCUGGGAACUGCAUUCGAAACUGGCAGGCUAGAGUCUUGUAGAGGGGGGUAGAAUUCCAGGUGUAGCGGUGAAAUGCGUAGAGAUCUGGAGGAAUACCGGUGGCGAAGGCGGCCCCCUGGACAAAGACUGACGCUCAGGUGCGAAAGCGUGGGGAGCAAACAGGAUUAGAUACCCUGGUAGUCCACGCCGUAAACGAUGUCGAUUUGGAGGUCGUGCCCUUGAGGCGUGGCUUCCGGAGCUAACGCGUUAAAUCGACCGCCUGGGGAGUACGGCCGCAAGGUUAAAACUCAAAUGAAUUGACGGGGGCCCGCACAAGCGGUGGAGCAUGUGGUUUAAUUCGAUGCAACGCGAAGAACCUUACCUGGUCUUGACAUCCACAGAACUUUCCAGAGAUGGAUUGGUGCCUUCGGGAACUGUGAGACAGGUGCUGCAUGGCUGUCGUCAGCUCGUGUUGUGAAAUGUUGGGUUAAGUCCCGCAACGAGCGCAACCCUUAUCCUUUGUUGCCAGCGGUCCGGCCGGGAACUCAAAGGAGACUGCCAGUGAUAAACUGGAGGAAGGUGGGGAUGACGUCAAGUCAUCAUGGCCCUUACGACCAGGGCUACACACGUGCUACAAUGGCAUAUACAAAGAGAAGCGACCUCGCGAGAGCAAGCGGACCUCAUAAAGUAUGUCGUAGUCCGGAUUGGAGUCUGCAACUCGACUCCAUGAAGUCGGAAUCGCUAGUAAUCGUAGAUCAGAAUGCUACGGUGAAUACGUUCCCGGGCCU
Molecule: ribosomal RNA, 1361 nt
Filed under: uncultured bacterium
Lineage: Bacteria
Description: bacterial SSU rRNA
Rfam family: Bacterial small subunit ribosomal RNA
Source: RNAcentral